Molecule: long non-coding RNA, 213 nt
Filed under: Elaeis guineensis (African oil palm)
Lineage: Eukaryota; Viridiplantae; Streptophyta; Magnoliopsida; Arecales; Arecaceae
Description: long non-coding RNA (EGUI_LNC077944)
Source: RNAcentral
UAGGGUCCUUCCCAGUUCGGAGAUAGUUUUCUUUGAUCCAGAGGCUUCAAGACUUCCGCCUUCCUUAAAACCAAGUCUCCCGAUCUGAAAAACUUUGGCUUAACUUUAGCAUUGUAGUAUUGGGCCACUCUUUGUCGGUAGGAAGCCAUGCGGAGUUGAGCCUCGCGUUGGAGCUUGGGUAGGAGGUCUAAGUCAGCUCUCUGACACUCGGAG